UCCUAUAAAAGCCUACUCUCAUAAUAGGUUAAACUGAAAUAAAUCUUUGUUUAACAUGUUUAUUUGUGUGUUUGGAUGACGCAUGAUGUGUUCAACACAUCUGCACAUGAGUGCAAGAAGUCACACUUUAAGGUCACUUAGUGGUGACCUAAAAAUUUUUUUUGGUAAGUUGGGAUAUGCAAGUAAAUGACCAGUUUAAAUUUCCAUGGAGAUAAGUGUAACACAUUGAAUUGAAUUUGUAAUUUGCAGAGAUUGCCAGGGAAUUUACAUAAGUAGUGAAAUGAAGUGAAGUUUUUUUUUAAACUUUGGUGAUGAAAAAUUUACUUAAAAAUAUUAAUGUGAUAUGGCUUAAACAAAUGUUUGUACUUUUUGUUGUAUUUCCAGUUUUAAUUACAGAAAAUUGAUUAUUUUUUUUAGAGAAAAAAGAUGUUUUUUGAACUUCAUUAUUGUCAAUAAAUUUUGCAAUAAAUGUUUGCACACUUUAAAAAUUCUUUUGAAACAGUAAGCUUUUUGAGGUGAAAGAAACAGUGAAUUGAUUUUCCUCUAUCAUGUCUAUAACAAGAGAUAAAAUUUAAUCAUUUUAAUGUAUUGAAUAAGAAACAUCUGUAACCAUUUUAGUGUUAUUAUUAAGAAAAAUGAUUUUAAUGUAAUUUCUUUGUUCUUUUCUUUUCAAGAAACUGAAGAUGCCAGCUCAAACAAGGAGGAAGAGGAAAGAAAAUAGAAAGACUGAAGAAGUUACUUAUGUAAAAGACCAAAUCGUAUAUUGUUUAUGGAGGGGGAUAUGGUGGCCCGGUUCCGUGGAGAGGGUUUUAAAAAACGAUGUGUACCAAAUUUCCUUUUGGAAAGAGGAGGAAAGAAAAAAUAAAGAAGCAGGCUGAUCUGAAAUAUAAAUAUAUGGAAGACGUAGAAUAUGCUAAAUCUUUGAGCAAAAACAAAUUGGCACCACCCCACACCUUGAGUUUGCAGAACCCUCCAGCUUCAUGUGAAGAGGUGCCUACCACAAGUGAUAAGCAAGGACAAGAGAGGGUACCACCCCACACCUUGAGUACACAGAGCGGUCCACCUUCAUGUGAAGAGGAGCCUACCACUAGUGAUAAGCAAGGACAAGAGAGGGCACCACCCCACACC
Saccostrea cuccullata (small rock oyster) is the source of this 1128-nucleotide long non-coding RNA. RefSeq lists it as uncharacterized. The transcript has 4 exons. Lineage: Eukaryota; Metazoa; Mollusca; Bivalvia; Ostreida; Ostreidae. The record is from RefSeq and is a predicted model, not a curated record.